Molecule: ribosomal RNA, 427 nt
Filed under: uncultured bacterium
Lineage: Bacteria
Description: bacterial SSU rRNA
Rfam family: Bacterial small subunit ribosomal RNA
Source: RNAcentral
UGGGGAAUUUUGGACAAUGGGCGCAAGCCUGAUCCAGCCAUGCCGCGUGAGUGAAGAAGGCCUCCGGGUUGUAAAGCUCUUUCGGACGGGAAGAAAUGGCGGGCUCUAGCAUAGCCUGUCGAUGACGGUACCGUAAGAAGAAGCACCGGCUAACUACGUGCCAGCAGCCGCGGUAAUACGUAGGGUGCGAGCGGUAAUCGGAAUUACUGGGCGUAAAGCGUGCGCAGGCGGUUUUGUAAGACAGAUGUGAAAUCCCCGGGCUUAACCUGGGAACUGCGUUUGUGACUGCAAGGCUGGAGUACGGCAGAGGGGGGUGGAAUUCCACGUGUAGCAGUGAAAUGCGUAGAGAUGUGGAGGAACACCGAUGGCGAAGGCAGCCCCCUGGGCCUGUACUGACGCUCAUGCACGAAAGCGUGGGGAGCAAACA